Molecule: ribosomal RNA, 408 nt
Filed under: uncultured bacterium
Lineage: Bacteria
Description: partial 16S ribosomal RNA
Rfam family: Bacterial small subunit ribosomal RNA
Source: RNAcentral
GACGAACGCUGGCGGCGUGCUUAACACAUGCAAGUCGAACGAAGUGGCGAACGGGUGAGUAACGCGUAAUCAACCUGACCUUCAGAGGGGGACAACAGUUGGAAACGACUGCUAAUAACGCAUAAUGAAGGAGGGGACUGCGUCUGAUUAGCUAGUUGGAGGGGUAACGGCCACCCAGGGCGAUGAUCAGUAGCCGGUCUGGGAGGAUGAACGGCCACAUUGGGACUUAGACACGGCCCAGACUCCUACGGGAGGCAGCAGUGGGGAAUCUUCCGCAAUGGACGAAAGUCUGACGGAGCAACGCCGCGUGAGUGAUGACGGCCUUCGGGUUGUAAAGCUCUGUUAAUCGGGACGCGGUACCGGAAUAGAAAGCCACGGCUAACUACGUGCCAGCAGCCGCGGUAAUAC